AAUGUCAACCUCUUCAUCGAAUCAACUUUAAUGGAAACAUUGCGGCUCGAGAAACAAAAUGAUAACGAACAAAUUGUUUCAAGGAGUUUUGACGUCGCCCAGAGCAGAUGUCAAAAAGUCUCGGUAAAUUUGCACUGGAACAAACAGAAGAGUUUUUCAUAUCAUGCCCGGGGGUUAAUCUUGGUAUUUGUACAAAACCCACUCGAUCCCUCGAGCGAGAGCUACAGCAACAGAAGAGAGAACAUCAGAGAAGUCAAGACAACGUUGUGAUGGAACAUUAGAGGAAGUGUUCUAAAAGCUUUUAAUUUGGAGUGUAAAUAAUAGGCGACCAUGAGGUAUAGAAGAGUCCUUGGUUCCUGUCCCCGCCGUUCCCUUACAGAAUCCAGUCCGGUGGUCUUUUUCUCCGGUAUUUGUUUGGCAAUAAUAAGCUAAACAUGACAGCCAUGUCAGUUACACGCAAGUGAGAUACUUUUAUAAAAACAAAUUCAUUAAAUCUGAUUUUCGCCAUAUGCCGCGAUAUGAUUUCAAGCUUCAAAAGAGAAACAAACACUAGAGGUGCCAGAUACAUGGUUUCAAU
Magallana angulata is the source of this 577-nucleotide long non-coding RNA. RefSeq lists it as uncharacterized. NCBI's taxonomy places the organism in Eukaryota, Metazoa, Mollusca, Bivalvia, Ostreida, Ostreidae. The record is from RefSeq and is a predicted model, not a curated record. The transcript has 3 exons.